Molecule: transfer RNA, 83 nt
Filed under: Dichomitus squalens
Lineage: Eukaryota; Fungi; Basidiomycota; Agaricomycetes; Polyporales; Polyporaceae
Also listed under: 1 other name
Rfam family: tRNA
About the family: Transfer RNA (tRNA) molecules are approximately 80 nucleotides in length.
Source: Rfam by way of RNAcentral
GCCUUCUUAGCUCAGUGGUAGAGCGCGCCACUCGUACGAUGUACGCCAUGGUGAGGUCGGUUGUUCAAUCCAGCCAGGAGGCA